CAGUAGCCGCGGGAAUACGAAGGGUGCAAGCGUUGCUCGGAAUUACUGGGCAUAAAGCGUGCGUAGGUGGUGGUUUAAGUCCGUUGUGAAAGCCCUGGGCUCAACCUGGGAAUUGCAGUGGAUACUGGAUCACUAGAGUGUGGUAGAGGAUAGUGGAAUUUCCGGUGUAGCAGUGAAAUGCGUAGAGAUCGGAAGGAACAUCUGUGGCGAAGGCGACUAUCUGGGCCAACACUGACACUGAGGCACGAAAGCGUGGGGAGCAAACAGGAUUAGAUACCCCCUGUAGUCCCUGUCUCUUAUA
Molecule: ribosomal RNA, 301 nt
Filed under: uncultured bacterium
Lineage: Bacteria
Description: partial 16S ribosomal RNA
Rfam family: Bacterial small subunit ribosomal RNA
Source: RNAcentral